This 253-nucleotide ribosomal RNA is filed under the name uncultured bacterium. RNAcentral's name for it is "partial 16S ribosomal RNA". It matches the Rfam family "Bacterial small subunit ribosomal RNA", at positions 524 to 776 of the family's 1533-position model. The record is from RNAcentral.
UACGUAGGGGGCAAGCGUUGUCCGGAUUUAUUGGGCGUAAAGAGCGUGUAGGCGGCCAUGCAGGUCCGUUGUGAAAACUCGAGGCUCAACCUCGAGACGCCGGUGGAAACCGUAUGGCUAGAGUCCGGAAGAGGAGAGUGGAAUUCCUGGUGUAGCGGUGAAAUGCGCAGAUAUCAGGAAGAACACCCGUGGCGAAGGCGGCUCUCUGGGACGUGACUGACGCUGAGACGCGAAGGCGUGGGGAGCAAACAGG